UUCAUAUUAAAAUACAUUGUUUUGGUGGAAAGACCUUCAAUUGUUCUCUGAACAAUUGGUUUUUAAUUAUUUUUUUUUUUUUUCUUCCGCCUAAUUUUUUUCUUGCGAUAAACAUUUGUUUCGCAAUAUGUCGCUUAGAUAUUUGGUAUAUGAUAUCGAACAGUUUAUGCGCUUUUGAAAUUUACCCUGCGUAAACAAAUACUUUUCUUUGUAGGAGUUAUCUCCCCAAACACUGUUUUCCUUGUUAGCGCAUCUC
RNAcentral lists this long non-coding RNA (256 nucleotides) under Mytilus galloprovincialis (Mediterranean mussel). The record is from RNAcentral. Lineage: Eukaryota; Metazoa; Mollusca; Bivalvia; Mytilida; Mytilidae.